CCUACGGGAGGCAGCAGUGAGGAAUAUUGGUCAAUGGGCGGGAGCCUGAACCAGCCAAGCCGCGUGAGGGAAGAAGGUACAGCGUAUCGUAAACCUCUUUUGUCAGGGAACAAAGGCGGGGACUAGUCCCCGGAUGAGGGUACCUGAAGAAAAAGCAUCGGCUAACUCCGUGCCAGCAGCCGCGGUAAUACGGAGGAAGCGAGCGUUAUCCGGAUUUAUUGGGUUGAAAGGGUGCGCAGGCGGCGUGUUAAGUCAGCGGGAAAAGCCGGGGGCUAAACUCCGGCGAGCCGUUGAAACUGGCGGGCUGGAGUUGGAGAGAGGUACGCGGAAUGCGCGGUGUAGCGGUGAAAUGCUUAGAUAUCGCGCAGAACCCCGAUUGCGAAGGCAGCGUACCGGCUCCACACUGACGCUGAGGCACGAAAGCGUGGGUAUCGAACAGGAUUAGAUACCCUUGUAGUC
This 459-nucleotide ribosomal RNA is filed under the name uncultured bacterium. RNAcentral describes it as "partial 16S ribosomal RNA". It matches the Rfam family "Bacterial small subunit ribosomal RNA", at positions 338 to 795 of the family's 1533-position model. The record is from RNAcentral.